RNAcentral lists this transfer RNA (77 nucleotides) under Candidatus Marithrix sp. RNAcentral describes it as "tRNA-Ile". It matches the Rfam family "tRNA". Rfam says of the family: Transfer RNA (tRNA) molecules are approximately 80 nucleotides in length. Their secondary structure includes four short double-helical elements and three loops (D, anti-codon, and T loops). Further hydrogen bonds mediate the characteristic L-shaped molecular structure. tRNAs have two regions of fundamental functional importance: the anti-codon, which is responsible for specific mRNA codon recognition, and the 3' end, to which the tRNAs corresponding amino acid is attached (by aminoacyl-tRNA synthetases). tRNAs cope with the degeneracy of the genetic code in two manners: having more than one tRNA (with a specific anti-codon) for a particular amino acid; and 'wobble' base-pairing, i.e. permitting non-standard base-pairing at the 3rd anti-codon position. The record is from RNAcentral. Lineage: Bacteria; Pseudomonadati; Pseudomonadota; Gammaproteobacteria; Thiotrichales; Thiotrichaceae. RNAcentral also lists the same sequence under 1 other name.
GGGCCUGUAGCUCAGCUGGUUAGAGCAUCCGACUCAUAAUCGGCAGGUCGUAGGUUCAAGUCCUACCAGGCCCACCA